GACCAGGUGAAGAGCAGUCAGCUCCAGAGCUCACGCAGAUUGUCUUUGUUCCAGUUAAGAACGGGAGUCGGCCCUGGGUCCCAGCCCCACCUGAAGACCAUCAGAACCGCUCUUCCCCAGUCCCCUGUGGGAAUGAGAAUGAAGGGAAGGUGUCUUGACCUGAGUCUCCUCUCCUUUCUGGGCAAAAGGCCUGGCCAUACGGGCCACAAGAUGGGUCCCAAGGAACCCUCAAAGGUUGUGGAAUUCUGCACUUGGGAGAGACUGGAGCCUGGGGGAGCUCCGCCAACCCAGCCACACCUGUAGCCGGUCCACCCACUAAUCCCCCCACCUUGCUCCAACUCAAGCCUGCUGCCCUACAACCACAUCUGACCACAUCACCCCUCCAAGAUGUCACCUGACCUCCACCUCCACCUGGCCCUUGUUCUGACUCAAGAGGAGCAGACUUCUGGCAAAAGGGGUUAAGGGUGGUUUUACCCAUCACCUACUCAGCUGGCCUGAGCUACAUUUCCCAGUCUCCUUCCCCAUGGAUUUCGGGCUUAGGCCACGUAGGAAAGUUCCGGGGAGCGGGAGGGAGGUGUUCACCUACAGUUCCUGCCUGCUGGGCCACUAUUGCCCCUCUGCGUUUUUUUUGCUUCUCGGAGUCAGGUUAGCACCUUCAUGAGGUCACAGGCACAACUAUGAGGUACCUUCCACCUGCGCUCUGGGGUCAGCCCUCACUUCGUAGAUGCCUCUCUCAUGCUUGGAAGCAGCCCCAGCCCCGUCCACAGAGCAGACUGAGCAAGCACAGUGCCGGCCACAAGCACAUGAGCACUGUUAUGGUUUGGACAUGAAGUGUCCUCCAGACGGCCCCUGUGUCGUAGGCUUGCCUUCUGAUCUGGCAGCACCCAGAGUUGGAACCUCUGGGAGGGGACUGGAUCACCAAGGUUGAUGGCACCAGGAAGCAGUGGAAAGGGGCCUCCGUGGAGAAAGUAGGGAGCUGGAGGCAUGGCAUUUUCCUGCCGCUUCCCCUCUAUAUCCCUCUGCCUCUGGCACACCGCCAUGAAGUGAGCAGCUUUGCUCUGCCACACGGUCGCAUGAGGCCCACAGGACCGCUGCCAGCUGGCCAUGGACUGGAGCCUCAGAAACCAUGAGCCAAAAUAAAUCUUUUAAAAUCCGUG
This is a long non-coding RNA of Psammomys obesus (fat sand rat), 1157 nucleotides long. RefSeq lists it as uncharacterized. The record is from RefSeq and is a predicted model, not a curated record. The transcript has 2 exons. Lineage: Eukaryota; Metazoa; Chordata; Mammalia; Rodentia; Muridae.